Oncorhynchus tshawytscha (Chinook salmon) is the source of this 690-nucleotide long non-coding RNA. RefSeq lists it as uncharacterized. NCBI's taxonomy places the organism in Eukaryota, Metazoa, Chordata, Actinopteri, Salmoniformes, Salmonidae. The record is from RefSeq and is a predicted model, not a curated record. The transcript is spliced from 3 exons.
GCAGGGUAAUGCAUUGGUCCGCCAUCAACUCCACUGGCUUCUCCAUUUCCAUACCUUCACGUUCUCUCUCUGUCUCUCUCGCUCUCACACUCCCUCAGUUUCUCUUGUCAAUAUUUGAUGGAAUGUGACUCUUUCCCCUUAAACCUCUAGCCAUGAAUUUCCUGAUUGGAUGAAGUGAGAGCCACGCCCGUGGUGUUGACCAAUUACAGAGAAUGUGUGGUGUCAUGUGAGAUGGAGUUGAUCUGGAGGUGCAGCCAUGUUUGGAAUAGCUCUGAACUGCAGAUUUCAUUAUGAAAGGCACCGCUGGUUCUGCAUUUGUAUCCAUCUGGAAUCCAGGAGAUGAAAUGGAGCAGUGAAGUUCCUCAGUGUCCAAAUCACAAAGGACUUCAAAUGGCCCACUCCCACAUGCACAGUCGGGAAGAAGGCGCAACCUCUACAUCAGGCGGAGUGAAAGGAAGGCCCGGACUCCAGCCACCGAAUAGACUGUUCUUUCUGCUUCCACACGGCAAGUGGUACCAGUGCAACAAGUCUGACACCAACAGGCUCCUGAACAACUUCUAUCCUCAAUCCAUAAGACCCCUAAAUAGCUAACAUAACUUCUACACAGACUGAGUUUACUCUUGUAUUUUAUAUUAUUUAUUUAAUUAAAUGUUUAUCUCUAUGCACACUCACAUGACUCUACACACUCUG